This 1308-nucleotide long non-coding RNA is filed under the name Brachypodium distachyon (stiff brome). RNAcentral describes it as "long non-coding RNA (BDIS_LNC005121)". The record is from RNAcentral. Lineage: Eukaryota; Viridiplantae; Streptophyta; Magnoliopsida; Poales; Poaceae.
CGUGCUUGUCUUCACAGAGAACGCCUCGCGGACUGUUCAAUCUACGUCUAGUGCACCGUUCGAUCCGUGCUGCCGCCGUCCAGACUUGGGGAGGAGAAGCCAGCAUCUUCUCUUCUCGCCUCCACAACUCCACCACUCGCUGCUGCUUCGACCCAACACCGCGUGGGCGCGAGCAAGCCGCCGCCGCGCCUCUCUCUCUCUCCCCCCUCCCUCGCUCCCUCCCUCUCUCUCUGUACGAAGCUUCUGGGCGACGAAGAACAAGAGGAGGGAGGGAGGAUUUGUGGGCGAUUUCUUCCGAUCGAACGUGGCUAAUCUAUCCCCUUGCUUUGAUUUGUUUCCAUGUGGAUUCAGGGGCUCUAAUUCCCGUUGUUUUUGUGGCCUCUUUCUCUUUUUUCAGAAGAAACAUCUAGGCGGCGAAGAACUAAAGCAGUGGCUUGAGGAUUUGAGGGCAUUUCUUUCCAUCGAAGGUGAUUACUCUCUUCCCAUUGCUUGAUUUUUGCUUCUACGUUGAUACGGCGAGUCAUUCCCGUUGAUUUUUCUGGGAGUUUGCGCGCAUAUUGCAGAUGUGCUCGUGGGGGGUAUUCUUAGUUGAUUUUAGCACUGAUUAGGCUCUACCCCUUGAAUUCACUUUGUUCCAGGAGGAUUCGGCGCCAUGUAUUUGUUGAUUGUUUUGGCCCUUUUUCAUGGGUUUUUAGGGUGCAUUUUUUGAUGUGGUAGUGCUGAAGGUGGAAUAUUUGGUGGAUUUUGUCGAUUUUGGUACAUGUGUGUAUGCAUUUUUGUGGUGGGGGGGCGGGGGGGGGGAGGGGUGGCUUCCUUUUCAUGAUGUUGUAGAGAUGGGUAUGUGUGAGAUUUCUAGUUGAUUUUUGGUUGGGCAAAGGAGUUAUAUGGGUGUUAAAUUUCAUGUUAAUUUGUAUUUGUUGCAUGGUGCAUAUAGGAUAUAUCAUCAGUAGUUUUCUCUUUUUGAGGAAAUAAUAUAUCAUGUGUAAUUGGUAUCAUGCUUAGUUAUGUUAGUCAGGUGCUUCAUUGUGCUGGAAUCAGAUGGGCACUGAUGUGUUAAAAUACAUGUCACUUUGUGAUAUCGAUUCAGUUAAGUCACAAUAAUUACUGUUGUAGCAAAAUAAAAUCCUUAUAUGGCCGGACCGUACAUUCUACGUGGCGACGACUGAGUCAACAUUUCCUAAGCGUGAGUCAAGACGCCCACGUGACGCAGUCAAUCCUACGUGGCAAAGGAAGACAAGUCAACAAGUCAAGCGUCUCGUGCCAUGGUCAAAGGAUGGAAUGAGCUAGAGUAGGGGGCAAGAAAGGUGU